UACGUAGGGUGCGAGCGUUACUCGGAAUUACUGGGCGUAAAGCGUGCGCAGGCGGCCGCGCAAGUCGAGUGUGAAAGCCCCGGGCUUAACUUGGGAAUUGCGCUCGAAACUACGUGGCUGGAGUGUGGCAGAGGAAGGUGGAAUUCCAGGUGUAGCGGUGAAAUGCGUAGAGAUCUGGAGGAACACCGAUGGCGAAGGCAGCCUUCUGGGCCAACACUGACGCUCAUGCACGAAAGCGUGGGGAGCAAACAGG
RNAcentral lists this ribosomal RNA (253 nucleotides) under uncultured bacterium. RNAcentral describes it as "partial 16S ribosomal RNA". It matches the Rfam family "Bacterial small subunit ribosomal RNA", at positions 524 to 776 of the family's 1533-position model. The record is from RNAcentral.